GAUGAACGCUGGCGGCGUGCCUAAUACAUGCAAGUCGAGCGAACGGACGAGAAGCUUGCUUCUCUGAUGUUAGCGGCGGACGGGUGAGUAACACGUGGAUAACCUACCUAUAAGACUGGGAUAACUUCGGGAAACCGGAGCUAAUACCGGAUAAUAUUUUGAACCGCAUGGUUCAAAAGUGAAAGACGGUCUUGCUGUCACUUAUAGAUGGAUCCGCGCUUCAUUAGCUAGUUGGUAAGGUAACGGCUUACCAAGCCAACGAUGCAAAGCCGACCUAGGAGGGUGAUCGGCCACACUGGAACUGAGCCACGGUCCAGCCUCCUACGGGAGGCAGCAGUAGGGAAUCUUCCGCAAUGGGCGAAAGCCUGACGGAGCAACGCCGCGUGAGUGAUGAAGGUCUUCGGAUCGUAAAACUCUGUUAUUAGGGAAGAACAUAUGUGUAAGUAACUGUGCACAUCUUGACGGUACCUAAUCAGAAAGCCACGGCUAACUACGUG
This 497-nucleotide ribosomal RNA is filed under the name uncultured bacterium. RNAcentral's name for it is "partial 16S ribosomal RNA". It matches the Rfam family "Bacterial small subunit ribosomal RNA", at positions 28 to 507 of the family's 1533-position model. The record is from RNAcentral.